ACUAAAUAGAUACCCGGGUAGUCCACGCCCUAAACGAUGUCUACUAGUUGUCGGGGAUUCAUUUCCUUGGUAAACGCAGCUAAACGCGUGAAAGUAGACCGCCUGGGGAGUACGGCCGCAAGGUUAAAACUCAAAGGAAUUGACGGGGACCCGCACAAGCGGUGGAUGAUGUGGAUUAAUUCGAUGCAACGCGAAAAACCUUACCUACGCUUGACAUGCCAGGAACUUUCCAGAGAUGGAUUGGUGCCCGAAAGGGAACCUGGACACAGGUGCUGCAUGGCUGUCGUCAGCUCGUGUCGUGAGAUGUUGGGUUAAGUCCCGCAACGAGCGCAACCCUUAUCCUUAGUUGCUACGCAAGGGCACUCUAGGGAGACUGCCGGUGACAAACCGGAGGAAGGUGGGGAUGACGUCAAGUCCUCAUGGCCCUUAUGUGUAGGGCUUCACACGUCAUACAAUGGUCGGUACAGAGGGUCG
RNAcentral lists this ribosomal RNA (474 nucleotides) under uncultured bacterium. RNAcentral's name for it is "bacterial SSU rRNA". It matches the Rfam family "Bacterial small subunit ribosomal RNA", at positions 772 to 1249 of the family's 1533-position model. The record is from RNAcentral.